This 443-nucleotide ribosomal RNA is filed under the name uncultured bacterium. RNAcentral describes it as "partial 16S ribosomal RNA". It matches the Rfam family "Bacterial small subunit ribosomal RNA", at positions 338 to 795 of the family's 1533-position model. The record is from RNAcentral.
CCUACGGGUGGCAGCAGUGGGGAAUCUUGGGCAAUGGGGGGAACCCUGAUCCAGCGACGCCGCGUGAGUGAAGAAGUAUUUCGGUAUGUAAAGCUCUGUCAGCAGGGAAGAAAGAAAUGACGGUACCUGACUACGCAGCCCCGGCUAACUACGUGCCAGCAGCCGCGGUAAUACGUAGGGGGCAAGCGUUGUCCGGAUUUACUGGGUGUAAAGGGAGCGUAGUCGGCGAUGCAAGUCUGAAGUGAAAGGCGGGGGGCCAACCUACGGACUGCUUUGGAAACUGUAUGGCUGGAGUGCAGGAGAGGAAAGUGGAAUUCCUAGUGUAGCGGUGAAAUGCGUAGAUAUUAGGAGGAACACCAGUGGCGAAGGCGGCUUACUGGACUGUAACUGACGUUGAGGCUCGAAAGCGUGGGGAGCAAACAGGAUUAGAUACCCUUGUAGUC